GCCAGCUCUUGUGAUAUCUGUCAUCCCAUUGAUUGCCAAGGUUGAUUCAGCUCAUCUGGCUGGGUAGCUGGGUGUUCCCUUAUUCCUUCACUGCUUCAUGUGUAUCCAUCCUAAGCUUAAUGCUUAGUGGAAAAGAACAACUGCCCCUAACAGAGGACCGUUUCCUCGGUGAAGGGCAUAGGAGUAGCUGUGCUCCUCUUCUAGAAUCUCCAAAUAAGCACUCAAGAAAAUUGAUGUAGUGGUAGAACAUGGCAAUUUCAUGUGCUUCAGAUAAAUAUUUCUUUUAGAAAAUUUU
Molecule: small nuclear RNA, 295 nt
Filed under: Octodon degus (degu)
Lineage: Eukaryota; Metazoa; Chordata; Mammalia; Rodentia; Octodontidae
Description: 7SK RNA (ENSODEG00000024162.1)
Rfam family: 7SK RNA
About the family: 7SK was discovered as an abundant small nuclear RNA in the mid-70s but a possible function has only recently been suggested. Two independent studies have found that 7SK RNA binds the CDK9/cyclin T complex (known as elongation factor P-TEFb).
Source: RNAcentral